Molecule: ribosomal RNA, 600 nt
Filed under: Triticum aestivum (bread wheat)
Lineage: Eukaryota; Viridiplantae; Streptophyta; Magnoliopsida; Poales; Poaceae
Description: partial small subunit ribosomal RNA
Source: RNAcentral
CCGUGGUGGCUCACCACUGUCUACGGGCCGACUUGCGACGCUGCAAAGAUCCAGUUCCUGGACGAGCUAGCUAGGCUGCGUGCUGCGACGCAAGGUCCGUGGCUGCUCAUCAGAGACUUCAACCUCAUUUAUGAGGCAAGGGAUGGGAGCAGCCCUAACCUCAACCAUGGACUCAUGGCAAGGUUUCGUGACGCCCUGAACGCAAGUUAGCUCAAAGAGCUAAAGUUGUCCGGACCCCGCUUUACUUGGUCGAACGAACAAGCUAGGCUGGUGUUGGUCCGACUGGAUCGCGCCUUCUGCGACAAUGAUUGGGACCUCGCCUUUCAGGGUGCACGGCUGCAGCCGCUCGCCACUGCUAUGUCGGAUCACUGUCCUCUGCUGCUCACUUGUGAGCCACCGGUCAGACGGCCGCCUGGGUUUCAUUUUGAGGCCUUCAGGCCGCACAUGCAUGGGUUCAGCGAGGUGGUGGCCACGGCCUGGAACGAACCAUGCCUGUCCAUGGAUGCUUUUGGACGGUUUGCCCUCAAGCUGCGGAGAACAUUCAUUGCACUAAAGAAGUGGCACCGCUCCCACAUUGGUGAUACGCGAUGCAUCUUCUAA